ACGUACACUCCUGCGGGAGGCAGCAGUGAGGAAUAUCGGCCAAUGGGUGGAAGCCUGAUCCAGCCAUCCCGCGUGCAGGAAGACGGCCCUAUGGGUUGUAAACUGCUUUUAUCUGGGGAUAAACCUACUUACGUGUCAGUAGCUGAAGGUACCAGAAUAAUAAGCACCGGCUAACUCCGUGCCAGCAGCCGCGGUAAUACGGAGGGUGCAAGCGUUAUCCGGAUUUAUUGGGUUUAAAGGGUCCGUAGGCGGACUGAUAAGUCAGUGGUGAAAUCCGACAGCUUAACUGUCGAACUGCCAUUGAUACUGUUAGUCUUGAGUAAGGUUGAAGUGGCUGGAAUAAGUAGUGUAGCGGUGAAAUGCAUAGAUAUUACUUAGAACACCAAUUGCGAAGGCAGGUCACUAAGUCUUAACUGACGCUGAUGGACGAAAGCGUGGGGAGCGAACAGGAUUAGAAACCCGAGUAGUCCCAUGAU
Molecule: ribosomal RNA, 476 nt
Filed under: uncultured organism
Description: partial 16S ribosomal RNA
Rfam family: Bacterial small subunit ribosomal RNA
Source: RNAcentral